This 2895-nucleotide long non-coding RNA is filed under the name Gadus morhua (Atlantic cod). RNAcentral describes it as "lncRNA (ENSGMOG00000024725.1)". Lineage: Eukaryota; Metazoa; Chordata; Actinopteri; Gadiformes; Gadidae. The record is from RNAcentral.
AUCAUGAACGGGGAGGAAUGUCCGGGGUGCAAAUAGAACGCGUGUCUCAUUUCAGAAGAAAUGAGGCGACGUUGCGGUGGCCCAGGCGGUCGGCCCGGUGGAGGUCCUGGAGGACGGCUGGGGGAUCCGGCAGUGGAGGUCCGGAGGUGGCUCGUGAUUAGACCAACCAGCUCCUCAUCCAUGGAAGGAUUGAAGGAGUCACUUGGGAUGAAGAUCACUGCUCAGGGGCUGACGACCACUCAUCUUUCCGGAGAAGCGUCCUCAUGGUGCAGGCGGUCAAACCUCCACCUCUUUGAAGAGACCAAACAGCUUGAUGACUGACUGGUUCGUUAUACUCAAGACCUCGUCCCGGAGCAGAGGACGGACCUAAGGCCCGCAGCGCAGCCGACUUGAGACUCCAUGUGGAACCGGUAAGAUACUGGAUUGACCAUCUUGAAGACAUUUUCAUUUAUUCAACAAGGUUAGUUUUGUUUGUCGGGUAUGUUGCUUUGAUACUAGGGGCUUCUUCUGUAACAAACUUUCUAGAGAAUAAGAUCUGACUUCAGCCAAUCAGCGGGAUGUCCUUGAACAAGAGCCAAUGGCUGAAGGUGCUGAAAUGCAUUCUUUAGACUCGCUCCUCUACUAUUGCUGUAAUCAAGCUGGAUGGCUAUUUUGCUCCUUCUACUGACAAAAUCAAGUCUGCCACCUGGUGGCUGAUGAGGGCGUAGCAACUCGGGUACAUUGGAAACAUGAUAAGAAGAGCCUGUUUUUGAUGGUUGGAUCGUACACCUAAAUGUUUUUACAUCAAAAUAUCGCCGAACCCCAUGUUGGACAAUGCUUGUUUUCAUCCUUUCUAUGUUUAGCUUUGAUUUAUCCUUACCUUUUCUUGUGACCCAUUCCCCUUAGGUUCAAUUAAGUCUACCUCUCCUUCAGGCGACUUAAAGGGAGACCAGAUGUGCGGCAGCUGGCUGUCACGGUGCAGAGACCCAACGCUGGUAAAUAUUUACUUCCUCCUUGAACAGACCUAACGCGUCAAACGGCAAUUAUAUAAUCCCUCCUGAUCUUUAUAAAGGUCUGAAGACCAGUCUUUUCUGUGAACAUCUCCACUGACUAGUGUGCUCUUAAUUAAAUUAAAGUUAAUUAAAUGCAGUAACUCCAAUUCACCUGGAGGCUCGUAUUGAAUUUUUUUUAAACCUGGUUCUCCAGCACUAGGACAGUUGAGGUAAAUAAAUGCUUGUUUUUUCGCUAAUUUGAGUCUAUGAAAUCAAAUGUCGAUUGAGCCCAGAUGGGGCUGUUCCGGCAUUUAUAGACAUUUGAUUGCCCUUGACACUGAUUCUACUUUUUGCAUCAAUUUACUUCACAGUACUGAACUACACCAGUGUGUCCUACUCCCAUAAACCCUGAGGAUCCCUGGAUGGCUACACCAGCACGUUAAUCCACACCCAACAUCAUCACACAGUGCACACUCUAUAGAGCUCGUAAGUCCGCCACUUGCGAUCGUAAGUUAUGACUGGGUUUCAAUGGAGAGAAAGUAAUUAUUUUCUCCAUUUUAUGUUUCACCACAUUUUGGGGGAAUGUUUGAAUCAAUCUUUUUCAUUUAUUUCUGUGCUCCAUAUCUGUAAUCCCAGCUGUUGUAUUUUAACACGGUAGCUGGGAACCCUCUUUAUAGGGAGCGACUAGAGGGACGAGGCUGGAAGCAAACCUGAGCCUGGAUCUUAACCUUCUUUCUAAACCUAAUGCCGCAAUUUAACCGCAAAUAAAGUGAGGCCUAAAGUAACUUGACUCUCUUACCUAAACUUGCUUGCCUAAACUCGCUUGUCUAAACUCGCCUGCAUAAAACCUAAACUCGUUUGCAUAAAACCUGAACUUGCUUGGCUAAACUCGCGUCGCUUGCCUAAUACCUGAACUUGCUUGCCUAAACUCGCUUGCCUAAUACCUAAACUCGCUUGCCUAAACUCGCUUGCCUAAACUCGCUUGCCUAAACUCGCUUGCCUAAACUCGCUUGCCUAAACUCGCUUGCCUAAACUCGCUUGCCUAAACUCGCUUGCCUAGACUCUCUUGCCUAGACUCGCUUGCCUAGACUCGCUUGCCUAAUACCUGUACUCGCUUGCAUAAAACCUGUACUCGCUUGCAUAAAACCUAAACUCGCUUAGCUUGACUCUCUUGCCUGUACUCGCUUGCCUAAUACCUGAAGUCGCAUGCCUAAUACCUGAAGUCGCUUGCCUAAAACCUAAACUUGCUUUUCCAAACACGUUACACAAAGUUAACCAUCCAUAAUCUUUAACCCAAACCAGACUUGUCCCUGGGUCGCUCCACUUUAAUUUAGAAGUUUCUUCUUUUACCUCAUCUGCGUUUUGAGUUGCAUUCUUUGAGGGCUUGAAGUGCUUUGGAGGAUAUUUGAACCUUUGUUUGCCGCAUCAAUAAACAUGCUUUAUCUUUACACAUUGUUUUGGUUUGCAUUUCUAUGUGUAAUCCGACCAAAUGUUCAGUGUCCUUACAUGUAAUGUCUAUGGUCUGACGAUAAUCUGACAUCUUCAUGAAGCAGAAUGUGUGAAUGUUGUCCUGUGAGCUCCAGGCUCUCUGUGGGCGUCAACGUCUCUUUAGCAAAAGGUUGGAGAGUGAAAUUCAUUUUUUUGCCAUUUUCAUGUGUUCCUGAGUAUUUCAGACCUGUGGUGUUUCACAUGAGACCUUAAUGGGAACUUUUCUUUUUCUUCCUGCAUACUAAUGCCUACAUUAGUAGGGUGAUCACUGUUGAUCCCAAUAUUGAUCAUUAACCACCUCAUUCUUUGGGAUUACAAAUCAUGUAAUUUAUGAGCAUAUUUGCAAAUGCCUCCAAAUAUCAGAUUGUGUAAAAACGAAUGAAAUGUAACCUGCUUGAUUUAAAGAAAAUAAAACAUCCAAAUAUUAUAAACAUGU